UAAUAACGUAACUUCACGGAUCCACUAAAUCCCUCUAAAACCCUACAAAUUAGGCUACGAACCCAUUGUAGAAGAAGAAGAAGAACAAGCUUCUUGUCGCUUUCAAGCUGUGUCUCCAUUUCUGCCUUGUUUUGGGUCGCAAUGGCGAAGCGUCUGAUCCCGUUAUUCAAUCGCAUUCUGGUUGAGAAAAUUGUUCCUCCUUCUAAGACCAACUCCGGGAUCAUUCUUCCGGAGAAAACCACCAAGCUUAACUCUGGAAAAGUUGUUGCUGUUGGCCCAGGAGCUCGGGACAGAGAUGGGAAACUUAUUCCUCUACAUGUGAAGGAAGGAGACACAGUUCUUUUGCCUGAAUAUGGAGGAACUGAAGUGAAGCUCAAUGAUAAGGACUUUAGAACAAUUCAUUGAAUUUCAUUUCAAUGGCAGAGCAUAGAAUUGCACAUGUCCUGUUCGUUUGCGUUGGAGCCAAGCUCUUAAAGGAACCAAUAAUAGUGAAUGAUUGAUGUUAAUGCUGUGAGGUAUUGAUGGUGCCUGAGGUUAUGAAGUGUAGUUGAGAAUUGAGAUCAGGGUGAGACAUGAGUAAAGGGCAGAGAGAGUGUUAGGGAGUUGAAGAACCAGAUAUAGUUUACAUCUAAGAAUUCCCGAUGUUAAUGUUCUACCAAAAGGCAUCUUCGGGGAAAAACUGGAAAGCGAUUCCAUAAAAUUGGGAAUGAGUUUGAUAGACUAUGACGAAGAUCGAAGUUAUCAUUACAGAAAAUUGUCGAUGCAGCUGGAAAGAAGCAGUCAAUUAGAUGAGCUUGGGCUUGGAGAUUUGUUAUAAAGGUCUGAUUUGAUAGGACUAGAUGGAUUAGAGGGUGUGAAUAGUGUUGCUUAUGAAUUAGAUAAAGAGGGUUUUCCACAUUGUAAGCAUCUUAUAGUUGCACAUAACGCUAGCAUUCUGUACAUCGUAAACUCGGUUGGACAAACUGCCUUUCUGAAUUUGGAGAUUUUGAGACUUGAAAGAUUGGUGAAGUUGGAAAAGAUUUGCUGUGGAAGACUCGCACCGGACUCUUUUCGCAAUUUGAGGUGGCUUACUGUAAUUCGAUGUGAUAGGUUGAAGAGUAUCUUCUGUUUCUCCAUAGCCAAACUUCUUGAGGAAAUUGAUGUGAUAGAUUGCGAGAUGAUAGAGGAGAUAGUUGACAACGAUGAAGCCAUUAAUGCUAAGAUUGAGUUUCCUCGUUUGCGCUCAUUACGGUUGAGAGGAUUACCGCAGCUUCUACAGUAUUGCUCUGAUCAUCAACCAAAGAGUACAACUAAUACCAGUUCCAUUCCUCUUUUUAAUGAAAAGGAUCAGUUUCCCAGCAUGGAGGAAUUGCAGUUGCUAUCACUUAAUAGUUUGCAAAUGAUAUGGGACAUGCAACUUCUUGAAAAGUUUGAUAAUAAUUUAAGGAGAGUGACUGUGAAUGGCUGUCAUAAUUUGAAAAGUCUAAUGCCUUCAUCUUUGUGUGGAAGUCUCGUGCAUUUAGAAUGGCUGGAAAUAGGUGGAUGUAAAAACAUAAGAGAGGUCGUUUCCAAAGAAGAAUCAGAAGGACAAGAAAAGCCGGGAAAGAUUUUGUUCCUUCAACUUAAAUCUCUUAAGCUAUAUGACCUUUCAAAGCUUAAGAGGUUUUGUGCCGGAGAUUGUAUUGAAUGUCCAUCAUUAAAAGAACUAGAUAUAAAAAAUUGCCGAAAAAUGGAGACUUUCAUCAGCAACUCUCUUCCAAGUCACAUUGACAAUGAAAAUGAAGAAAUAGAAUCAGUCAAUAAACAACCUCUCUUCGUCAAGGAUAAGGUUAAAUUCCCAAACUUAGAAGUACUGAAGAUUCACAAGAUUGAUGUCAUUAGUGAGAUAUGCCAUGGUGAUUAGUCCUCAACAUUGCCUUUUCCGAAGCUAAAGAGUAUAGCGUUGGAUUCCAAUUUCUCUGAAUCAUAUAAAUUUUCAUUCAAAUUCGUUCAAAGACUUAAACAUCUUGAGCAUGUUCGUAUUUACUGUCUAUUCAUGGAAUCACUAAUUAGUUCAGAUGAAGCACAUGACAUACUCAUUGCAUUUAAGAAUGGAUUUGAUUUCACUUCCAAAGUUGAUGCAUCUGUGUGACGAAAGUGUCCAAACAUGCAAAACCUUUCGGGUUGUGGAAGUUCUAGAAGUAUGGAGGUGUGAGAGAUUAAAGAGCCUAAUGACUUGUUCAAUGAGUUUCCAAAAUUUGACAACUUUUGAGUGUACGUAUCAGAUUGUGAUGCAUUGGAAAAUUUAAUGGCUUCGGCAGCAGCGGCUCAAAGUCUGCAACAACUUACAGAAAUGAUACUAUGCAAUUGCAAAAGAAUGACACAAAUAAUGGGGAGUAAUCAUGAAGCAGAAUUUGAUGUUGAAACAGAGAAAAACGAGAUUGGGUUUAGCAACCUGAAGAUUUUACGACUUCAUGAGUUGUGCAGCCUCGGAAUGUUCUACUCUGGAAAUAACAUAAUAAGACUUCCGAAUUUGGAACAAUUAAUUGUGAAUGAAUGCCCUGAGUUGAGAACUUUUUCUCAUGGUACUGUACACAGCCCAAGGUUGUAUAGAAUAACGAUUAAACUAGCAUAUAAUUUGCUUAUUGAUCUUACGGAGCUUGUAAAAAAUUACAACGUGGAAUACCAGGAGUUUUGGAGGGUGAUGUUAAUACAACUCUACAUAAGCUUUGGGAGGACCAUCAAGCUGCUGCUAUCUCAUCACAACGCAACAUUACAUGAUAUAUUCAGAAUUAUCAGAAUCAGAAACAUCCAACAAGGAAAAAUCUUUCAUGCACUCAAACAUCUCCUUGUGGCGGCAAUGCUCUUUGGCUGUAGAUAUUGAAGUGAGCACAGUAACACUUAAAGGGUUUGAAUACUACAUUAAUUCACUACUUGAGACUUUUAUAUUUAGGAGAUUCUGUAAACCUAUCUAAUCAGUACAGUAUCACAAAUAAAGGAACUCAUGUUUCUAUUCUGUUUUAUAAUAGGGUACAAGAUUGGCUGUCACAGGGUGGCCGAGAUUGUUUGCUGAGUGGUAGCUUAUGGUUGUAAUUAAAGAGGAUGACCCAUAUCUUAAUUUGUGCUUUUAUUAGAUUUGAAGCCAGAAGUAAAGCUGAUUAAUCUAUAUGAAGUUGAUACACGCUCAGAGUACAUCCUCUAGACAUUGUGGUCAACAAUCCUGAUAUGGUUGAUCUUCUUUAUUAAUUUGUAGUUCUUUAUUAUAUAUUGGCUCAGUUGUGCGUGGGGAUUUGAACAGUUUCCAUUGUAUGCAUGUUGUGAAUUUGGCUGUAUGUCAAUUAUUUAUGUGUGUUAGUGGACCUGUAGUAUAUUUUAAUGUAAAAUAGUUUUUUAAAUCAACAAUAAAUUAUCAUUUUUUGAUUAGAA
Molecule: RNA transcript, 3384 nt
Organism: Ziziphus jujuba (common jujube)
Lineage: Eukaryota; Viridiplantae; Streptophyta; Magnoliopsida; Rosales; Rhamnaceae
Gene name: 10 kDa chaperonin, mitochondrial-like
Exons: 6
Source: RefSeq, a predicted model, not a curated record